Long non-coding RNA from Melitaea cinxia (Glanville fritillary), 533 nucleotides. RefSeq lists it as uncharacterized. The record is from RefSeq and is a predicted model, not a curated record. The transcript has 2 exons. NCBI's taxonomy places the organism in Eukaryota, Metazoa, Arthropoda, Insecta, Lepidoptera, Nymphalidae.
UUAUUUAGUUUAUUUAAUACAGCAUAAUUUAGGUAGUAGAUGUUAAAAAUAUUAAAGUUGACAGCAGUAUUUAGUCUUAGUAUAAAUGGGGGUCCAUUGUAGUCUAUAUGGUGCACCUGUGAUAUCGACCUCGGGGUCAAUACCCGACUCACAAAUGUCAGUAGUGGGAAUAAUAGGAGUCAAUUUAUUUAUCUGUCUACGCAACCCUAGUACGGUUGAAGCAGGUUCCUCGCCUCUGAUUAAUACUUCAUAGUUUAAUUCAUUUUUGUUUAGCAAAAAGAAUUUAAUGGGGUAUGUUUCCAUGAUAUCUAGCGAUCAAAACGAUUACUAUUAAGUUAUACAAAACAAUAAGAUAACGUAGGUUACAGAAAUCUUAAAUAGUUAAAAUUUUAAAAGUUAUAGAAGUUAUACAAAUCGCAAAUAGUUAAGAUUGUCGAAUAAUAGAUCAGCUGUUUACAUGUAAGUAUAGUUAAAUGGUGUUCUUUACAAAGUAUGCUACCUAUUACCUACACAGAAUUACGCUUAGUGACAAA